ACUGCCCCGGCGAUCUGGGCGCGGCCUCCGCCUGAGGCGGGAACAGCUUUGGCGACUGGGGCCGCCCCCUGCAGCCUCUGGGUGCGCGCAGUCCGGGACCCGCGGCGCGCGCCGAACAAGGACCAGCGGCGGGAGCCAACCGCGUCUUCCCGGCCCCUCCACGAUGUCCGAGGCCGAGCAGCCCGAGAGGGUGGCAGCCACGCGGCGGUGGAGAAUCACGUGAGGGGUGACCAAGUGCUGGGAAUUGGAAGUAGUUCUACAGUUGUCCGUACUGUGCAGUGAAUAGGGAGGACAAUAUUGUCCUGAGAGUCAUAUAGGAGACUCUUCCACGAGCCUUUGGCCAGAACUGUCUCAACUGCAAGGGACAUGGGACAGUGUAGUAUCCACCUGCUACUGAAGGAGGCUGUCUGCUCAGGAAAAGUUUCAGUGGUGUCAGUGAGCUUGGCCCUUCCCCUGGCCUGGGAAUGCUCCCCUUGUUCCAUACCACCCUGUCCCGGGGCC
Molecule: long non-coding RNA, 501 nt
Organism: Molossus molossus (Pallas's mastiff bat)
Lineage: Eukaryota; Metazoa; Chordata; Mammalia; Chiroptera; Molossidae
Exons: 4
Source: RefSeq, a predicted model, not a curated record